This 253-nucleotide ribosomal RNA is filed under the name uncultured bacterium. RNAcentral's name for it is "partial 16S ribosomal RNA". It matches the Rfam family "Bacterial small subunit ribosomal RNA", at positions 524 to 776 of the family's 1533-position model. The record is from RNAcentral.
UACAGAGGUCCCAAGCGUUACUGAGAAUCACUGGGUUUAAAGGGUGCGUAGGUGGUCCGUUAAGUCAGUUGUGAAAUCCCCGGGCUCAACCCGGGAAAUGCUUCUGAUACUGGCGGACUUGAGGCCAGUAGGGGUCACUAGAACUGACGGUGGAGCGGUGAAAUGCGUAGAUAUCGUCAGGAAUGCCGGUGGUGAAGACGGGUGACUGGGCUGGUUCUGACACUGAGGCACGAAAGCGUGGGGAGCGAACAGG